RNAcentral lists this unclassified non-coding RNA (195 nucleotides) under uncultured Inocybe. RNAcentral's name for it is "sequence contains ITS2". The record is from RNAcentral. Lineage: Eukaryota; Fungi; Basidiomycota; Agaricomycetes; Agaricales; Cortinariaceae.
AAUUAUCAACUGUGCCACUUUGGUUACAGAUUGGAUGUGGGAGAUUUUUUGCAGGCUUUUGAACUAGUCAGCUCUCCUGAAAUGUAUUAGCAGUGCCUUUGUUGGUUCAUUAGGUGUGAUAAUUUAUCUAUCUUACAAUGGUACCUUCAUUUGUAAAAGGUCAUAUUGCUUCUAAUUGAAUUGAAUUAUGACAAA